RNAcentral lists this unclassified non-coding RNA (315 nucleotides) under Hevea brasiliensis (rubber tree). The record is from RNAcentral. Lineage: Eukaryota; Viridiplantae; Streptophyta; Magnoliopsida; Malpighiales; Euphorbiaceae.
GUUCUGUUCAAGGUGUACUGGAAAAUGCAAUUUCUUCCUCCUUCACAGAAUUUCCCGUUGUUGCAGGAGAUGAAGGAAUGGCAGCAGCUGCAUUUUCCAGUACACCUUGAACAGAACUUGCACCUGGAAGAAUUGAAGAGGCUGAUACACUAGAUAAUGUAUGAGCUGGAACACCGACAGAAACAGGAGUUGCAUGAUUCACAGUUGGUAUUGAAGCUGCAGAAGAACCAAUCAUGCUACUCUUGGCAGGUGGAGUUCUUGCAACAAUGUCAGGAUUACUAUCCUGUGAAGCUGUAUCAUCAGCUUGCUCCUGAA